UUAUGAACUUGUUUAUACCAUCAAACUUGAGGGGGAGUAUUGAAGAAGGUAUCACUUGAACAAUGUGGCAUUCAUGUAAUUAGUAACAACUAGAUGACUAAUUAGUUAAAGUAGUUAUAGUGUUAGUUAUUGUUUAUAUAUAUACAUUGAUGUAAAUAGAAAGUACACAUUGAAAAUACAUAUACAACUCUUAUUUCUUCUCCGUUCUGAAUUCUUCUUCUUCCUCUGCAUCUUCAUCUUCUCUUCUUCCUCUCUUCUUUAUGCUGCUUCUAUUCUGAUUUACUGCACACACCUCAACUAUUCAUGCAUUAAUAUUUCGAUUUUCACUUUUCACUGUUGUAGAUUUGGGUGAGAAUACAAAGUUCUUUAAUGAGAAUUUUAUUAUCAACGAAAAAAGUAAUUAACUUAAUUAUAAAGUGUUAAUUCAAAAAUAUAAACUAUUGAAUAAUUGAGCUAAUUAAUUUUUUUAGAUGAUUUUUGAAUAUUCAUAAACUACACUAAUUAAAUACAUAAUUAUGUAAACACGUAUAUAUUACUUAAAAAUCAUAAGAAGUGAAAAAAAACUAUAUAAAAAUUAACUUGAAAAAUACUUAAUUUUAUGAAGCCAAUUAUUACAAAUCAUUUCAAAUUUAAAAAGCUCGCUGAUUAAUAUAUCGUGUAUGGUCAAAAUUGAGUGUCAACACUUACUUUAAAAUUUAAGUCCCUUAUCUAAUUCUAAAUUUUUAAAUGACCAUAUAUUUCUUUCAAACUUAGAGAGAAUUAUAUUUCCUUUCCCGGCAUGAACUCCUCCAAAUAAGUCCAUUUGACACUUUUACUUCUUUAAUAAAAAUUAGAUCAUCCUUGUAUUAAUUAAUUUAAUUAAUAGCGUUGAUAAAGAUAUAAAAGAGCUCCAAAGGUCAACUUUAAGAGCAUUUUGUGGGAAAUUAUAAUAAAUAAUAUAUUUGUAUCAAUUUUAAUAGUUUAAACAUAUUUUAAGCCUCGUUCGAAUUUUAAAAAACACUUCUGAGCAAACUAUUGUUUGGCCAACUUUUUAAAUAAUUGGUUCUUCAAAGCAUGUUUCAUAAAACUCUUAAAAUCAACUUAUUUUUAAGAAAUAUUUAUUCAAAAUUCUUUUUCAGAAAAUCUAUUAUCUUUUACAUGGAAAGAAGACAUGAUAUACCCCUCAAAUUUACGAUUCUUAUGAAAAAGUAUAAUAAAAAAAAAAAUAUUUGAACAUAUAGGAUUUGUUGUUACAAUUAAUAGUUUUCAGUAUUCUUCCUAUUGUCGCUACAAUAAAUUAUUCUUUGAACAAUUAUUAUUAAUUGUAGCAAAGAAUCUAAGAAAACUAAAUAAAUUAUACUUUGUACACCUAAUAUUUGGUUCUACAUUUAAUAGUUUACCAUAUUAUUCAUGUAUAUAUUUGUUGUUACAAUUAAUAGUUUUCCAUAUUAUUCAUAUGUAUAUAUUUGUUGUUACAAUUAAUAGUUUUCCACAUUCCUCAUAUAUAUUGGCUUCAAAACUAAACUUUCUCAGUUUUUCGAAUGGCUUCAUAUUCUCCACCUUUGGAGAACCUAUUCGUCUAUUUCUAUGGGUUGACUCGAUGAAGUCGUUAUCAAGCUUUAUGGACCAACAUGAUGGAAAGAAAAAUCACUAGAGCCCCAUGAACUCAAUCCGAAUCACAUGAAACGAGAAAAAGAGAAAAAAAGUAGUAUUCAUGCUGAAAAUGAUGAAGCUCAUGAAUAAGGCAGAAUUAAACAAUACAUUUGGAUAGUAGCCUGAAUAUACAUAUUUCAAUCUAAACCAAAUAUUUUUCGGGAUAAACAAGAUACCAAGCUAACAACAUAUGACUUAAAAAUAAAAAUCUAUGAAUCACUACCAUUUUAAAGAGGAAAACGCAAAAUCUAACACCACGGGGGCAUAUUUAUGAAUAGUUUAUACACAAAAGCUUUACCAUGUACAAGCGUGAGCCUAUUUUAAGCAACACAACCAAACAAAGAUAGAUGCAUGCUUAAAUACAUCUUACUAACAUUAAGAGAAUGAAGCAUCAGACUAAGGAUGCUCCUUCAUGCACAUACAGAAGCGGCCAAAACCAUGACAAUACAGUAGAACAAACAAAUGAAUACACAAGCAGAGGUGGACUGUCAUACCUUACGAGUCCAAACAAGAAAAGUGUAGAAAUUACCAUCUUUGGCGUUUAGAAAGUCAAUUGAGAGAGUAUCAUGGUGGACUAUCGGAGUUAGAUUUAGCAAGAGAUACGACAAACGAGAAUUCGAGUAGACCAGCAAAGAAACAAUCGAGUUAGCUGAUGAAUCCUUCUGGGAGCAGCGUGACUUGGACAAAACGAGCUUGAGAGCAACGACACACCAAACCGAACUACGACAACAGAAGCUAAGCCAAAACUUCCGAUUUUGAACACGGACUAGUGAGACGAGCAGGGAAAUAACUUUAUCGAAUAUCCAACCCCUCCACCUUAGACGUGAAUCUCUAUAUAUUAUCUUAGUUAUUUUCUUAAGCCAACUCUUAAUAUUUCUUACUCAAAACUCCUAUAGAAUAACAAAAAGCCACUCUUUCCGCUAUUUCCACGUCUCUCCCCGAAGAAAUUCUCCUCUCUUUUCCCUUUUUCGAUUUUAUCCAAAAAAAAUCAAAACCCAAAAGAAAACCUCUCUAAUAUAUUUUCUUUCAAUGCUGCUGUCCUCUUUUCUCUUGUUAGUUCAGAGUUUAUCCCCGACUCCCAAAAAAACCCUUUAGCCGAGGAGAACAAAACAAUAUAUAGAAGGUUCAUUAGGGUUCCAAAUUUCUGUGAAAUACCGGAUCAACCCCUGGUCUUACCCCAUAAUUUGAAAUUCAAAUCCUUGCACCAAAAAGGGGAGACCACCUUUUCUUGGGAAUUUUAACCCAUUCACAAAGAGGAAAAAGGAAAUUGACGCUUCAGAUCGAUUGGUUCAUCCUCUCGACCAUGCGUGGCUCAAUCUCACGCCACAAGGACGGAAACGCAUGCCCGCCUACUACUUUAUACUGCUAGUCGUACACCAUGAGAGGGACGAUGGGGAAGAGGAGAGCGAAGAACAAGCUGUCCAUUGUGUCUCUCUGAUCACGUCAAGGGAUUUGGACUUGGGAAAUUAGGAGAGAAAAUGGGCUGGACCGGGUCAAAAAUUGGGCUGGACCGGGUCAAGAAUUGGGCUGGGUUUGAUUGGAAUUAAAGGGGAGAUGGUUUGCUGAAAAAUAAGAGGCCCAAAAUGGUGCCUAAAUGGAUUAAAUAUUUGCUAACUAGAUGAAAUUAAUUAAUAUAAAUCAAUUAAAUAAGCUUCUUAACUUUAACGAAAUAAAAUAAUCGAUGAAAUUAAGACAUAAUUAAGUAAAAAAUGCAAACUAUUUAAUGGCCAAUAAAAUAUUUAAACACAAC
RNAcentral lists this long non-coding RNA (3382 nucleotides) under Solanum lycopersicum (tomato). Its description in RNAcentral is "long non-coding RNA (SLYC_LNC001170)". The record is from RNAcentral. Lineage: Eukaryota; Viridiplantae; Streptophyta; Magnoliopsida; Solanales; Solanaceae.